GUAGGGAAUCUUCCACAAUGGACGAAAGUCUGAUGGAGCAACGCCGCGUGAGUGAAGAAGGUUUUCGGAUCGUAAAGCUCUGUUGUUGGUGAAGAAGGAUAGAGGUAGUAACUGGCCUUUAUUUGACGGUAAUCAACCAGAAAGUCACGGCUAACUACGUGCCAGCAGCCGCGGUAAUACGUAGGUGGCAAGCGUUGUCCGGAUUUAUUGGGCGUAAAGCGAGCGCAGGCGGAAGAAUAAGUCUGAUGUGAAAGCCCUCGGCUUAACCGAGGAACUGCAUCGGAAACUGUUUUUCUUGAGUGCAGAAGAGGAGAGUGGAACUCCAUGUGUAGCGGUGGAAUGCGUAGAUAUAUGGAAGAACACCAGUGGCGAAGGCGGCUCUCUGGUCUGCAACUGACGCUGAGGCUCGAAAGCAUGGGUAGCGAACAGG
This 430-nucleotide ribosomal RNA is filed under the name bacterium. RNAcentral describes it as "bacterial SSU rRNA". It matches the Rfam family "Bacterial small subunit ribosomal RNA", at positions 354 to 776 of the family's 1533-position model. The record is from RNAcentral. RNAcentral also lists the same sequence under 1 other name.